AUUGGGAACAUUUUGCAUAAAU
RNAcentral lists this microRNA (22 nucleotides) under Mus musculus (house mouse). RNAcentral describes it as "mmu-miR-450a-1-3p". Its record names the gene mmu-miR-450a-1-3p. RNAcentral also lists the same sequence under 1 other name. Lineage: Eukaryota; Metazoa; Chordata; Mammalia; Rodentia; Muridae. The record is from miRBase by way of RNAcentral.